UUAAUUAUUUCUUAGCUAUUGAAGCACGUAUUAAAAUUUUAAUUAUUUAACAUACCACUUCAGCAUACUAAAAUUAAGAUAUAGAAGGUCAAUAUAUAGAUCUAGAUAUAGAACAUUUCCAUUACUUAAAAUAUUCUCUCAUAUUUUCCUUCAGUUAAUUCCCAGUUCUCAGAGGCAACUGUUAUUCUGACUUUAAUCACCAUUGAUUAGUCUGUUCUUGAACUUCAUAUAAA
Mustela erminea (ermine) is the source of this 233-nucleotide long non-coding RNA. RefSeq lists it as uncharacterized. Lineage: Eukaryota; Metazoa; Chordata; Mammalia; Carnivora; Mustelidae. The transcript is spliced from 2 exons. The record is from RefSeq and is a predicted model, not a curated record.